GGUCAUGAGCGCCAGCGCCAAGCCCCGGCUUGCUGGCCGGCAACCCUCCAACCGCGGUGGGGUGCCCCGGGUGAUGACCAGGUUGAGUAGCCAUCACCGGCUACGCGGCAAGCGCGGGUC
This is a non-coding RNA of Mycobacterium xenopi RIVM700367, 120 nucleotides long. The record is from Rfam. NCBI's taxonomy places the organism in Bacteria, Bacillati, Actinomycetota, Actinomycetes, Mycobacteriales, Mycobacteriaceae.